ACGAUAACUUUUUUAUUUUUCUUUAAAAUAAAACAACUUUUUCCUUCCAAACAGAGAGCACUCUCCCAAUUUGCCGAUGGCGCUGCUGUUGGUGGUUCCGAAGUCGAAAUUUUCCCUUCUGUCUUCGGGUAUCGAUGGAUCCUCGUUGUGUUCGUCACUAGCGGCCAAUUUGUCACGGAAAAGGUAUUUGGUUUGCUUCCCCAUGAUGGUGGGUGGUGCUAAUAUGUGCCAUGGCAGUGAUAUGAGUUGGACAAUGGUGACUGGCUCUAGCCGCUGAUAAGGGUCGUCGGUGUGGCCGCUGAUGAGGGGCGUGAGAUUGGAGAUGUGUGCAAUCUUGAAAGUGUUCGAGGAAUAUCACCCUCAACCAAGGGCUUUGUUGUAAGAAAUGGGUGGGGAACAACAAAGUAACUUUAGUUUUUAGAAUAUUAUUAUGCGGUUUGUAUGCUGUUCAUUAUUUCUAAAGCAGAAUCUAGUUUAGUCAAAUGAGCACAAUUCUCUUAAACAAGUUAACUUAUUUAGAAGGGAGGUAGGAAAUAAGACGAUGUCCAUUCGAUGUCUAACAGUGCAUUUGAUGGAUCAUAGAUGGCUUUAGAGGAGAUAAUUAGAGAAAAAUGCACCCGAUGCAUGUAUAUUGACGGGCAACAAUUAUUGGGAACUUGCGGAUAUUAUGCUAAAGAUUCAUACUUUCUAAUAUUCUCAUUUUGAAAACAUCACAUUAGCUUAGUAUAGGUAGUAGAUCAACCUACAGAAAAAAGGAAAUAAUAAAGGAAAUCUGAACAGUUCUUAUCAAAAAGAUAUAGAAAUUUUUAGAGGUUAUUUUCAGAUAUGAUGAGUUUUUUAUUUCAUUUUUUGUUUUAUUUCACUAAAGCUUCUAACUGAGAAUAUGCAUUUUAUUUAUGAUAGUUGACCUGAAUAUUUAUGAUAUUUAUCAUGUUUUUAUUUCUCAUCUGCUAUUUCGGUUUUCCCUAUGUUUCUAAACAUAAUUUAUACUUGUGACAUUCGUCAUCUAUGCCAAUAAGAAA
Molecule: long non-coding RNA, 1022 nt
Organism: Tripterygium wilfordii
Lineage: Eukaryota; Viridiplantae; Streptophyta; Magnoliopsida; Celastrales; Celastraceae
Exons: 3
Source: RefSeq, a predicted model, not a curated record